RNAcentral lists this unclassified non-coding RNA (313 nucleotides) under uncultured Tomentella. RNAcentral describes it as "sequence contains ITS2". RNAcentral also lists the same sequence under 1 other name. Lineage: Eukaryota; Fungi; Basidiomycota; Agaricomycetes; Thelephorales; Thelephoraceae. The record is from RNAcentral.
AACGCACCUUGCGCCCCUUGGCUAUUCCGAGGGGCAUGCCUGUUUGAGUAUCAUGAACACCUCAACUCUCAUGGUUCGCCAUGAUGAGUUGGACUCUGGGGGUUUUGCUGGCCUGUGGUCGGCUCCUCUCAAAUUAAUCAGCCUCCCAGUGUUUGGUGGCAUCACGGGUGUGAUAAAUAUCUACGCUCGCUGUUGUCUGCCAGGUAACCUUUGGUCACAAAGGUUUGCUGGAGCUCACAGAUGUCUCUCCUCAGCGAGGACAGCUUUUUUAACGUUCGAUCUCAAAUCAGGUAGGACUACCCGCUGAACUUAA